GCACAAGCGGUGGAUGAUGUGGAUUAAUUCGAUGCAACGCGAAAAACCUUACCUACCCUUGACAUGUCCAGAACCCUGCAGGGAUGCGGGGGUGCCCGAAAGGGAAUUGGAACACAGGUGCUGCAUGGCUGUCGUCAGCUCGUGUCGUGAGAUGUUGGGUUAAGUCCCGCAACGAGCGCAACCCUUAUCAUUAGUUGCUACGCAAGGGCACUCUAAUGAGACUGCCGGUGACAAACCGGAGGAAGGUGGGGAUGACGUCAAGUCCUCAUGGCCCUUAUGGGUAGGGCUUCACACGUCAUACAAUGGUCGGUACAGAGGGUUGCCAAGCCGCGAGGUGGAGCCAAUCCCAGAAAGCCGAUCGUAGUCCGGAUUGUUCUCUGCAACUCGAGAGCAUGAAGUCGGAAUCGCUAGUAAUCGCGGAUCAGCAUGUCGCGGUGAAUACGUUCCCGGGUCUU
This 455-nucleotide ribosomal RNA is filed under the name uncultured Thiobacillus sp. RNAcentral's name for it is "bacterial SSU rRNA". It matches the Rfam family "Bacterial small subunit ribosomal RNA", at positions 923 to 1382 of the family's 1533-position model. Lineage: Bacteria; Pseudomonadati; Pseudomonadota; Betaproteobacteria; Nitrosomonadales; Thiobacillaceae. The record is from RNAcentral.